AACGAACGCUGGCGGCGUGUUUAAGACAUGCAAGUCGCACGGGACUAUUUGAGUAGCAAUACAAGGAUAGUUUAGUGGCGCACGGGUGAGUAACACGUGAAUUACAUGCCCUGCAGAGGGGGAUAGCCCAGGGAAACUUGGACUAAUACCACAUGGUAUCGCGAGAUUACAGGUGGCAGCAAGGCUGUCGCUGCAGGAUUGGCUCGCGCCCUAUCAGCUUGUUGGUGAGGUAACGGCUCACCAAGGCUACGACGGGUACCUGGUCUGAGAGGACGAUCAGGCACACUGGAACUGAGACACGGUCCAGACACCUACGGGUGGCAGCAGUCGAGAAUAAUUCACAAUGGGGGCAACCCUGAUGGUGCAACGCCGCGUGGAGGAUGAAGGUCUUCGGAUUGUAAACUCCUGUCAUCCGGGAGUAAGACCUGGCGAUGAAUAGUCGACAGGGUUGAUAGUACCGGAAGAGGAAGGGACGGCUAACUUCGUGCCAGCCGCCGCGGUAA
Molecule: ribosomal RNA, 503 nt
Filed under: uncultured bacterium
Lineage: Bacteria
Description: partial 16S ribosomal RNA
Rfam family: Bacterial small subunit ribosomal RNA
Source: RNAcentral